RNAcentral lists this ribosomal RNA (314 nucleotides) under Enchenopa sp. 'Campylenchia' CPL-2004b. RNAcentral describes it as "partial 12S small subunit ribosomal RNA". The record is from RNAcentral. Lineage: Eukaryota; Metazoa; Arthropoda; Insecta; Hemiptera; Membracidae.
CCAGAAUAAAAGUAGUUAUAUUCUUCAUAACUCAAAGAAUUUGGCGGUUAAUAAUAAUUUCAGAGGAUCCUGUGUAUUAAUUGAUAAACCACGAUAGUUUUUACCUUAUUUUUAUUUGUAUAUCUCUAUUUUUGGGAAUGUUUUUUAUGGAUUUAUUUUCUUUUUGAUUUUUUCUAUAAUUUUAGGUCAAGGGGCAGUUUUAAUUAGGAUUAUAUGGGUUACUUUAUUUUUAAUUUAUUGUUUUUAUAACUUUUUUAAUUUUAUUUGGAGUAGGAUUUGAUAGUAAUUUAAAUUAAUUAGUUUUUAUGAAUAUU